CUGGAGUUGGCCCCGCGCAGGGACCACGGAUAGGUGAGGCAGUUCGUCAGGGAAACCGGACCCGCCUCAGCCGGGAGCAGGUGGGAAGACAGAGGACCACUCUGACUUGAACCAGAAGGCACAGGGCAUGAUGGGGCUGGUGCGGCGGACACAGCUCUGCUCUUCCGAGACUUGAACCUGGGCACCUCCUCAUGGCUCAACUCUUUCCGGGAGCUGGGAAGGCACAGGUCUCACAGGAGCUCAAUGCUCAUGGCAGCCCAGCCAGAAGGACCGAGAGGGUAGAGGAUUUGUCUUCCUCGCCUACAGUUGGCAACUUGGAUGAGAUAAAACUUCACUGGCUGGACCUUGCUCGCUCCUGGACUACCGUGGCUGAAAGAUCUGGGACCCCUGACAAGAGUCAGCAGGAGAUAUGCAGAAAGUACACCGGAGCUAUCAGAGCUACCCCGGCCAGGACUCCGACCACGAUGCUGUCAAUGACCCCAGCUGAGAGGCCAGCAGAAUUUCCUGGUGUUGGUGUUGGUGUUGGUGGUGGU
Equus caballus (horse) is the source of this 533-nucleotide non-coding RNA. NCBI's taxonomy places the organism in Eukaryota, Metazoa, Chordata, Mammalia, Perissodactyla, Equidae. The record is from RefSeq and is a predicted model, not a curated record.